Molecule: ribosomal RNA, 484 nt
Filed under: uncultured bacterium
Lineage: Bacteria
Description: partial 16S ribosomal RNA
Rfam family: Bacterial small subunit ribosomal RNA
Source: RNAcentral
AUUGAACGCUAGCGGUAUGCUUUACACAUGCAAGUCGAACGGCAGCGCGGACUUCGGUCUGGCUGCGAGUGGCGAACGGGUUAGUAAUGUAUCGGAACGUGCCCAGUAGCGGGGGAUAACUACGCGAAAGCGUAGCUAAUACCGCAUACGCCCCACGGGGGAAAGCAGGGGAUCGUAAGACCUUGCACUAUUGGAGCGGCCGAUAUCGGACUAGAUAGUUGGUGAGGUAACGGCGCACCAAGGCGGCGAUCCGUAGCUGGUUUGGGAGGACGACCAGCCACUCUGGGACUGCGCCACGCCCCAGCCCCCUUCGGGAGCCCGCCGUCGGCAAUUUUGGACAAUGGGGGCCACCCUGAUACAGCCGUCCCGCGUGUGUGAUGAAGGCCUUCGCGUUGUCAAGCACUUUUGGCAGGAAAGAAACGUCGCGGGCUAAUACCCCGUGGCAAUGACGGUACCUGCAGCAUAAGCUCCGGCUAACUACGUG